RNAcentral lists this transfer RNA (62 nucleotides) under Ictidomys tridecemlineatus (thirteen-lined ground squirrel). RNAcentral describes it as "Spermophilus tridecemlineatus (thirteen-lined ground squirrel) tRNA". It matches the Rfam family "tRNA". From Rfam's summary of the family: Transfer RNA (tRNA) molecules are approximately 80 nucleotides in length. Lineage: Eukaryota; Metazoa; Chordata; Mammalia; Rodentia; Sciuridae. The record is from Rfam by way of RNAcentral.
AGGGUUGUGGCUCAGUGGUAGAGCACUUGUCUGGCAAAUGUGAGGCAUUGGGUUCAAUCCUU